RNAcentral lists this ribosomal RNA (255 nucleotides) under uncultured bacterium. Its description in RNAcentral is "partial 16S ribosomal RNA". It matches the Rfam family "Bacterial small subunit ribosomal RNA", at positions 524 to 777 of the family's 1533-position model. The record is from RNAcentral.
UACGGGGGGGGCAAGCGUUGUUCGGAAUUACUGGGCGUAAAGGGCUCGUAGGCGGCCAACUAAGUCAUACGUGAAAUCCCUCGGCUUAACCGGGGAACUGCGUCUGAUACUGGAUGGCUUGAGUUCGGGAGAGGGAUGCGGAAUUCCAGGUGUAGCGGUGAAAUGCGUAGAUAAUCUGGAGGAACACCGGUGGCGAAGGCGGCAUCCUGGACCGAUACUGACGCUGAGGAGCGAAAGCCAGGGGAGCAAACGGGG